RNAcentral lists this ribosomal RNA (253 nucleotides) under uncultured bacterium. RNAcentral describes it as "partial 16S ribosomal RNA". It matches the Rfam family "Bacterial small subunit ribosomal RNA", at positions 524 to 776 of the family's 1533-position model. The record is from RNAcentral.
UACGUAGGGGGCAAGCGUUGUCCGGAUUUAUUGGGCGUAAAGCGCUCGCAGGUGGUCCGAUGCGUCGUGCGUGAAAGACCCCGGCUCAACUGGGGAGGGUCGUGCGAUACGGGCGGACUAGAGUACUGCAGGGGAGACUGGAAUUCCUGGUGUAGCGGUGGAAUGCGCAGAUAUCAGGAGGAACACCGGUGGCGAAGGCGGGUCUCUGGGCAGUAACUGACGCUGAGGAGCGAAAGCGUGGGGAGCGAACAGG